AUGCCCGUCAUUAGAGCCGCUAGCCAUAUUUGAAAAAAAACCCUAAUCUUAAAUUGGGUAAAUUAUUUUAUUUCAUUUUUUUAAUUCGAAAUUUUUGUAUGUUUAAUGUCUUGUUAGGUAAAAACCCUAAUUUCUAAUUAGGUACAUAGAUUACUGACAGAAACUCUAGCUGAUAUGAUAUAUUUUAUUUUAUUUUAUUUAUUUAUUAUUAUUAUGUUGAAUAAAUUGUUUGUGUGGUACUAGUGACAAAGAUUUUGAAGCUUUAGAGAACAAAUAGUCAGAUUGAAGACAACUGUAAGAAGAAAGUUCCAGGUUUUGAGUUUAAAAUUGUGCGUUUGGACUGUAUGUGAACAAGAACUAACAUAAUUAAGUUGGGGAAAAAUAACCGAGGCUGAAACACUUGUGCAAUUGAGCAGGAAGAAGUGAAGGUUUAAAGAGUCGACCCUGUUGGUAUACAAAGAUGAUACCUAUAAUUAUGUACCGAGGAUAGAAGAUUUUGAGAUUAUAUUUGCAGCAAAUGAUGGUUAGUUGUUGAAAUAUAAUGGUUUGGUUAUUGGUAUUCCUUUUAUUUUAGAAUUAUUUGUUGUUUAUUGUGCAAUAAUUUUAAGUUAAAUUUCAUGUUUGAUUUCUAGUUCUGCAACACCUGAUACAUGUAAAGAUGAUCGAAGAUGAGAGUGAGAAUUUGAGCAACCUGUGUGUGUGGUGAAGGUAUGCUACUUUAAUAAUUUACUAAUUUUAAGUCAUACAUUUUGUUACAAUUCUUCUCUUAUCUUUAUGAUAAAUCUAAUAUUCUGACUAUUCUUUUAUACUCUUUCUACUCGAUGCAUCUUGCUUUACCACGCUAUGUGUUGCAUACAAUAUUAUGAUCUAUCAGAUAUUGUCAUAAGUUUCUCAUUUUGUCUCUUUUCUCUUCUCUGUCCUUUGUUCUUUGUUCCAUUGCAUUAAUUUUUUAUUUUG
Molecule: non-coding RNA, 957 nt
Organism: Erythranthe guttata (spotted monkey flower)
Lineage: Eukaryota; Viridiplantae; Streptophyta; Magnoliopsida; Lamiales; Phrymaceae
Source: RefSeq, a predicted model, not a curated record